Molecule: ribosomal RNA, 323 nt
Filed under: uncultured bacterium
Lineage: Bacteria
Description: bacterial SSU rRNA
Rfam family: Bacterial small subunit ribosomal RNA
Source: RNAcentral
UAGCAAUACGGCAGCGGCAGACGGGAGAGUAACACGUGGGAACGCGCCCUUCGGUUCGGGAUAACCCAGGGAAACUUGGGCUAAUACCGGAUACGCCCUUACGGGGAAAGAUUUAUUGCCGAAGGAACGGCCCGCGUCCGAUUAGCUAGUUGGUGAGGUAACGGCUCACCAAGGCGACGAUCGGUAGCUGGUCUGAGAGGAUGACCAGCCUCACUGGGACUGAAACACGGGCCAGACUCCUACGGGAGGCAGCAGUGGGGAAUCUUGCACAAUGGGGGCAACCCUGAUGCAGCGACGCCGCGUGAGCGAUGAAGCCCUUCGGG